GCCUGGAUAGCUCAGUUGGUUAGAGCGUGGUGAUGAUAAUGCCAAGGUUGCAGGUUCAGUCCCUGCAGGGAGCA
Molecule: non-coding RNA, 74 nt
Organism: Podarcis lilfordi (Lilford's wall lizard)
Lineage: Eukaryota; Metazoa; Chordata; Lepidosauria; Squamata; Lacertidae
Source: the annotation of a GenBank genome assembly